Small nucleolar RNA from Spea bombifrons (plains spadefoot toad), 134 nucleotides. RefSeq annotates it as small nucleolar RNA SNORA5. The record is from RefSeq and is a predicted model, not a curated record. NCBI's taxonomy places the organism in Eukaryota, Metazoa, Chordata, Amphibia, Anura, Pelobatidae. The transcript has a single exon.
UGCAGCCGUGUCAAAUUCAGUACCGCCUCAUCGCUGGUGGCCACUGGCCAAAAUGGCUGCUACAGGAAUCUGGUGGCACAUGGGCCCCUCUUUCUUUUGUGGAAGUCGGGGAUAAAAGUUUGGUACCAACAAUA